GUAAUGAGCAGUUCCAGAGCAUCAGCAACAUUAAAAGAAGGAAUAUUCAAUGCCGGUAUUGAAUCUCUGAGUUUGCAGAUAACUGUGAUCUCCAAAUAAACAUGCUUCUCAAUUUCCUGCUGACUAUUGAGGAGUCAAUAGUACAAUUCCAAUAAAGUGCUGCCAACAGAAUGCUACCCAGGGCCUCAUCACCCACAAGAGUGAUUACUACUUGCUUUCAUCCAGUCACUUUCUGGGUAAAUGAAACCACCAGACUUGACAUCCCAUUCAACAUUGCAACAGCAGAGCUGUGGAAUUUCUGUUCUAUCAGUA
Molecule: long non-coding RNA, 312 nt
Organism: Chiloscyllium plagiosum (whitespotted bambooshark)
Lineage: Eukaryota; Metazoa; Chordata; Chondrichthyes; Orectolobiformes; Hemiscylliidae
Source: RefSeq, a predicted model, not a curated record